RNA transcript from Hevea brasiliensis (rubber tree), 2928 nucleotides. It is a transcript of the gene named late embryogenesis abundant protein 6, with no coding region annotated. Lineage: Eukaryota; Viridiplantae; Streptophyta; Magnoliopsida; Malpighiales; Euphorbiaceae. The record is from RefSeq and is a predicted model, not a curated record. The transcript is spliced from 4 exons.
AUAAAAAUUAACCUUCCGUCUUCAAUAGAGAACCCUAAUUUGUUAAAUCCCUAAAACAUUCACUCUCCAAUUGUUCUUGUGCUGUUGACUGUGAGUCUACGACUGCCAUUGUGCCUCGCCUCCCUUCUUAGUUCUCUCCUCUCUUUUCUUUUCUUAUUCCUCCCUAGUCUUUGCCUUGUGUUGCCGUCCUUAUCAGUUGCCUUCGUCAUGAGUUGCUGUUGUCCCUUAGAAGUCCAUUCGAUGCUAGCGCCACCCUGUUGCUGAAGUGGGUAUUGUUUUGAAAAGUUUAUGGAGUGUGGAUUAAAGAUUUUUGGCCUCACCGAAUCACCUUCACUUGCCUUCCAAAAUUACCUAUCUUGCCACCAUUUACUCCAAAUGGAUUCUUUUAGUGGGCAAGAAGAUCCAAAAACUAAAAGUACUACUGAUUCUAAUCAAAGUGAAGCUGAGGCUGCAGAUACAUCUAAUUCAAAAUCAAAAUAAAAAAGAAGUUGUGAAGCGAAAGCCAAUUAGACCAAGGUCUCUAGUUUAGGAUCACUUCACCAAGUUCACAAAUACUAAGGGCGAAAUUAAAGGCAAGUGUAAUUAUUGUAGCAAAGAAUUUUGUUGUGAUCCAAAGAAAAAUGGAACAACUGCACUUAGGAAUCACAUGAAUGCAUGCAAAAAGCAUCCACAUGCCAUUGAGACUAAGCAAACACAAUUAGCUUUGCAACCAAAUUCAUUUGAUGAAGUUUUAGGGGAUGUAAGCACACUUUCUACUUAGAAAUAUGAUGAAGAUGCAAUUAGGGAAGCUCUUGUUCAAAUGAUUAUAAUUGAUGAAUUUUCUUUUAGAUUUGUUGAUGAUGAGGGAUUUAGAAGAUUCAUGAGACCAUAUGUCCUAGGUUUAGGAUUCCCUCUUGUUGGACUAUUUCAUGGGAUUGUUAUCAAAUGUUUAUUGAGGAGAGGACAAGAUUGAAGUCUUUUUCAAGAGAAAUUGUCAAAGAGUGAGUCUUACUAUAGAUACAUGGACAUCAUUAUAGAGAAUAAAUUAUAUGUGUGUCACUGCUCACUUUAUUGACAAGGAUUGGAAGUUGCAUAAGAGAAUUAUUAAUUUUUGUCCUAUUUUUAGUCAUAAAGGUGAUGCCAUUGUUAGGUCAAUUCAAACUUGCUUGCUAGAAUGGGAUUUAGAUAAGAUAUUCACUAUUACAUAGACAAUGCAAGUUCAAAUGAUGAAGCAAUCUCUUAUUUGAAAAAGAAGCUUGCCAAUUGGGGUGUUAGUGUUGCUAAUUCUACUUACCUUCAUAUGAGGUGUAUGGCACAUAUCAUUAAUUUGGUUGUCAUGGAUGGAUUAAAAGUUGUUUGUGAGUCAGUGAUGAAGGUUAGGGAUGCAGUAAGAUACAUUAGGAGUUCUCCAGCUAGGUUGAAAAAGUUUAAGCAGUGUGUUGAAUAUGAAAAAAUUGAAGGCAAGGCUUUUUUGUAUUUAGAUGUGCCUACUAGGUGGAAUUCAACUUACUUAAUGUUGAAUACAACACAAAAAUAUGGAAGGGCAUUUGAGAGGUAUGAGUCACAAGAACCUAUGUUCAAGCUUAACAUUAGAGAGAAUGGGAUGCCUAAUUUUUAUGAUUGGUCUCAAGUUAAGGAAAUAACUGAUAUGUUGUCUCAUUUUUAUGAGUUAACUUUACGUAUUUCGAGUUCUCGUUAUGUCACAUCCAACAUGUUCUUUAGUGAGAUGAGUGACCUAACUUUUAUAUUAAACUAAUGGAUGGGUAGUAAUGAUAUUGAGAUGAAAUCUAUGGGGGAAAGAAUGAGGGUCAAAUUUGACAAGUACUGGAGAGGUGUAGAUAAAAUGAAUAAACUUAUUUAUUUUGCCAUUAUUCUUGACCCUCAUGAUAAACUUGAGUAUAUGGAGUAUUUAUUUUGCCAAAUGUACGGUAAGGAAAAUGGUGUAGAGUUGUUCCAGAAGGUGAAAACAUUAAUGAAUGAAUUGUUUAAUGAGUACAAGAGAAUGUACCAAUCUGAUGUCAAACACUCAAGUGAUAAUAGUUCAUAGAUCUCAAUUGGUGGUACAGGCUCUUCUGUAAGUCUUAAGCUAAUUUUUAUUUUGAAAUAUCACUAUAAGAAGCAAAAGUUGGAGGUUCUUGGUGGUGCAGAUUCAAAAACAGAGUUAGAAGUGUAUCUAAGUGAGGCUAUCCAAGAGGACAAAGAAGAUUUUGAUAUCCUUAAAUGGUGGAAGAUUAAUUCUGAGAGAUUUCCUAUCCUAGGAAAAAUGGCAAGAGACAUAUUGGAUGUUUUAGUUUCAACAGUUGCUUCAGAGCGUGCUCUCAGUACUGGUGGGAGAGUGCUUGAUGCCUUUAGGAGUUCUUUGAUUCCGAAAAUUGUGGAGGGCUUGAUAUGUGCAUAAGAUUAGCUUCGUUCAUUAAAUAGACCAAUAAGUUUUGAGGAAGAUUUAGAAGAACUUGAAAAGCUUGAAAAGGGUAUGAAAUUAAUUUAUUAAAUAUUUCAAUUUUAUUGUUUCAUAUUUUCUUUUGGAUAUAGAGUUUCCUUGUUGGCUAAAACACUUCAAUUUUCAGUGUUGCUACUUAUUGGAAUUACACAUGGUUUAGGAGGAUCAAGUUCUACCCCUACUCCUAACUAUUAAAUGUUUCAAAUAGGCAUGGAAUUGUUAGACUGCUCUUGACCUCUUAUGAUUUUGUGUUUUGCAUGGAUUUUAAUCCAUUAUAAACUUUUAUUUUGCAUUGCAUUUUAAUCUAUUAUGGCCUGCUCUUGACCUCUAUGUAAUGUGUGGUGUUUUAAUGUGUGAAUCUUAAAUAUAGAAAUGUCAAAUGUGUUAUGUGUGUGGACUUUUAUCACUUUAUAAAGUGAUGUUUGCUGUUUUUAUGGACUUUUAUGUAUUUUGGAUUAUAAUUUCAUGGUACAUUUUAUUUAGAAUGGAUUGACAAUUUUACGGACUUA